ACAAGCCGAUGAUCGGUACGGGUUGUGAGAGCAAGAGCCCGGAGAUGGAUUCUGAGACACGAAUCCAGGCCCUACGGGGCGCAGCAGGCGCGAAAACUUUACACUGCGCGAAAGCGCGAUAAGGGGACCCUGAGUGCGUCGCAAUGCGUCGCUUUUCAGAUGCCUAAAAAGCAUUUGGAAUAAGGGCCGGGCAAGACCGGUGCCAGCCGCCGCGGUAACACCGGCGGCUCGAGUGGUGGCCGCUAUUAUUGGGCUUAAAGGGUCCGUAGCCGGACCGGUUAGUCCAUUGGGAAAUCUUAUAGCUCAACUAUAAGGCGCCAAUGGAUACUGCUGGUCUUGGGACCGGGAGAGGCAAGAGGUACCUCAGGGGUAGGAGUGAAAUCCUGUAAUCCUUGAGGGACCGCCAGUGGCGAAGGCGUCUUGCUAGAACGGGUCCGACGGUGAGGGACGAAAGCUAGGGGCACGAACCGGAUUAGAUACCCGGGUAGUCCUAGCCGUAAACGAUGCGAGCUAGGUGUCACGUGGAUUGCGAAUCCGCGUGGUGCCGUAGGGAAACCGUGAAGCUCGCCGCCUGGGAAGAACGGCCGGCAGGCUGAAG
RNAcentral lists this ribosomal RNA (598 nucleotides) under uncultured soil archaeon. RNAcentral's name for it is "bacterial SSU rRNA". It matches the Rfam family "Archaeal small subunit ribosomal RNA", at positions 252 to 854 of the family's 1478-position model. The record is from RNAcentral.